Oryzias melastigma (Indian medaka) is the source of this 569-nucleotide long non-coding RNA. RefSeq lists it as uncharacterized. The transcript has 2 exons. NCBI's taxonomy places the organism in Eukaryota, Metazoa, Chordata, Actinopteri, Beloniformes, Adrianichthyidae. The record is from RefSeq and is a predicted model, not a curated record.
UAACCAGGUUUCCACGCCCACUUGCAACCUGUAAUCCACCACUGAAACCCCUCUAUACUUUCUCUAGGGGGAAAAGUUCCUAAAACAACUAGGUUGCGACGCAGCUGCUGCACUCAGAAAUGCACGUAUAGGAGCUUACAAAUGUCACUCACACUCUCAAACAGUUGUUGAAGAUAAGAAGUCCAGGCAGUUUACAUUUGUUUUUAAUCUUGUUGGCAUUCAAAUGGAUUUUUCUUUGGCAGUGUUGAACUGUUCUGCGACAGUUUGUGGUCAAACACAUCCUGUGACAUAUUUCUCCAGUUUGACCUUUUUUUUUUCCUCCCUGCACAAAAGCUGCUGUAAUGACAACAAACAGCAGCUGUUUAUUCACUGGAUUUCCAGUGGAAUGGAAAAACAAAGAGCCGAGUAAAAGAAGGGCAUCACGCAGCCUCAGGAACCAUAACCCCCUUUUCCCUCCUCUCCGACCCCCUCUUUUCUAUGCCUUCCCCAGCAGAAGGAGGAGGAGGAAGAGGUCUCUGAAGGUGGCGCCUGAGAGGCAAUUACUGUAAUACAUUCACCCUUAGACCAUU